This 254-nucleotide ribosomal RNA is filed under the name uncultured bacterium. RNAcentral's name for it is "partial 16S ribosomal RNA". It matches the Rfam family "Bacterial small subunit ribosomal RNA", at positions 524 to 776 of the family's 1533-position model. The record is from RNAcentral.
GACGGAGGGUGCUAGCGUUGUUCGGAAUCACUGGGCGUAAAGGGCGCGUAGGCGGCCUUGCAAGUCGGUUGGUGAAAGCCCGGGGCUCAACCCCGGAGGUGCGGCCGAGACUGCAGGGCUGGAGGCCGGAAGAGGAGGGUGGAAUACCCAGUGUAGAGGUGAAAUGCGCAGAUAUCGGGAGGAACACCAAUUGCGAAGGCAGCUCGCUGGGACGUCACUGACGCUGAGACGCGAAAGCGUGGGGAGCAAACAGG